UGCGUAAGGAUCAUUAACGAUUGUUAAAUAUUUUACUUUGAACAACUUGUUUUGUUUAAUUUAAUUUAUUUUAUCAUCAUUACAUCAUCGACCAAGUCCCACACGGCGAAGAGAACUUUACUUUUUGCGUGUGGCGGUUUUACAAAACUACUUUGUUUUGUAAAAUGACAAUAACGAUGCUUAACUGCAGUGAGUUGAGCGCUAAUUUCACGUCAUUUACGCGUUCCAGUAUUUAACUUUGACUGGGUGCUCGUUUCCAAUAUCUAUUUUAUUGGGUUGCAUUUUCCUGGAAAUGCAUCGCGAGCCGUAAGGUUGGCGUUCACUGGCACUAACGCCCAGUCAGGUCUGUCUCUCCGUUUGUUGAGACGACCGUUUUUUCUUAACUUUAAACUCUUUGAAAGCAAUUGCAAUAAAGAUAUAAUUUAACAAAUUACGAGAGAAUCACUCUGAGCGGUGGAUCACUCGGCUCGCGGAUCGAUGAAGAACGCAGCAAAGCGCGUUAGCUACUGCGAACUGCAGGAUUACUUGAGCAGCAAGAUUUUGAACGCAAAUUGCGGCUUCGGGUACUCCCGGAGUCACGUUUGCCUGAGGGUCGAAUAACACAACUAAAACACCAAUUUGUGUUGGUGGUUUAUUGAAAUGGCUUUGCCAACUACACAUUGUGUUAGUUUGCGAGCUUAAGAUAAUUCAAGUACUUGGCAACAUUGACACCGAAUGUGUUAACAAGCUAAGAAUUGUUUAAUUUAAUUAUUUUCCAACAUCGACCUCAGACAAGCGAGAUUGCCCGCUGAAUUUAA
Molecule: ribosomal RNA, 797 nt
Filed under: uncultured fungus
Lineage: Eukaryota; Fungi
Description: eukaryotic LSU rRNA
Rfam family: 5.8S ribosomal RNA (bases 443-595)
Source: RNAcentral